RNAcentral lists this ribosomal RNA (373 nucleotides) under uncultured organism. RNAcentral describes it as "bacterial SSU rRNA". It matches the Rfam family "Bacterial small subunit ribosomal RNA", at positions 526 to 896 of the family's 1533-position model. The record is from RNAcentral.
CGGAGGGAGCGAGCGUUGUCCGAAGUUACUGGGCGUAAAGCGCGCGUAGGCGGGGAAUUAAGUGAGAAGUGAAAGGCUGGGGCUCAACCCCAUGCAGUGCUUCUCAUACUGGUUUUCUUGAGGGUGGUAGAGAGAAGUGGAAUGGCUGGUGUAGCGGUGAAAUGCGUAGAUAUCAGUCGGAACACCGGUGGCGAAGGCGGCUUCUUGGGCCAUUUCUGACGCUGAGGCGCGAAAGCUAGGGGAGCGAACGGGAUUAGAUACCCCGGUAGUCCUAGCCGUAAACGAUGGAUACUAGGUGUCGGGGGUAUCGACCCCUCCGGUGCCGCAGCUAACGCACUAAGUAUCCCGCCUGGGGAGUACGGCCGCAAGGUUG